Molecule: long non-coding RNA, 457 nt
Filed under: Phoenix dactylifera (date palm)
Lineage: Eukaryota; Viridiplantae; Streptophyta; Magnoliopsida; Arecales; Arecaceae
Description: long non-coding RNA (PDAC_LNC014878)
Source: RNAcentral
GAACCGAGAAUAGGUCAUUUGGUGUGUGAAAGAUUGUUUUAGAUCUAGGGUUUAUAUGCAUUAAAACUUAAUUAAUUAUCUAAGUGAAUGGAGAUUUAUUAUCUUCGUUUAGAUAGGGUUUGCUUCUCAAAUUUGAUGUCUCCAAUCUUCACAAGAAUGUUAGGUACAUAGCCGCAUAGCGAAAUCUAAUCAUGGACAUUGCUGCCCUAUCAUUAGUUUUUGGUGCUGAUGUUAUAUAUAUUUUCUUUAGGUGACAAGUUUAAGGCCUAGGAUCCUCUUUGGCACGUGGAUUGCACCGUAAAGUACUAUAUAGUGCUCAAUGGCUGCUAUUAAGAGAUAAAUAACUAUCAAGAGUGGCGCACCAUAUAUAGCACAUAAGGCCAUUUUGUUUAAUAGCCAUAUAUCUCUUGACAACAACCAUCGGCGUUGUAUAAUACUCUGCAAUGUAAUCUGCGCA